This 76-nucleotide transfer RNA is filed under the name Olavius algarvensis Gamma 1 endosymbiont. It matches the Rfam family "tRNA". Rfam says of the family: Transfer RNA (tRNA) molecules are approximately 80 nucleotides in length. Their secondary structure includes four short double-helical elements and three loops (D, anti-codon, and T loops). Further hydrogen bonds mediate the characteristic L-shaped molecular structure. tRNAs have two regions of fundamental functional importance: the anti-codon, which is responsible for specific mRNA codon recognition, and the 3' end, to which the tRNAs corresponding amino acid is attached (by aminoacyl-tRNA synthetases). tRNAs cope with the degeneracy of the genetic code in two manners: having more than one tRNA (with a specific anti-codon) for a particular amino acid; and 'wobble' base-pairing, i.e. permitting non-standard base-pairing at the 3rd anti-codon position. The record is from RNAcentral. Lineage: Bacteria; Pseudomonadati; Pseudomonadota; Gammaproteobacteria.
GCCCAGGUAGCUCAGUCGGUAGAGCAGGGGACUGAAAAUCCCCGUGUCGGCAGUUCAACUCUGUCCCUGGGCACCA